Molecule: long non-coding RNA, 1199 nt
Organism: Orcinus orca (killer whale)
Lineage: Eukaryota; Metazoa; Chordata; Mammalia; Artiodactyla; Delphinidae
Exons: 2
Source: RefSeq, a predicted model, not a curated record
UCAGUGUCUGUUUCAGGCAGAGGGAAAAAUGCAGAAACCACGGUAAACCUCAGGUUUGAGGCCCACUGGCCGCACGUCCUCUUAUCCAAGCCUGCGACCACUCGGGAGCCAAAGGGGCGGCUACUGGAGCCUCGCUGAAUGGAUGGGAGAGCAGGGCUCUGAGGACCAGCACCCAAGGAGCCUGAUGCUUGCCCCUCUGCAGGAGAUUCCUGCCCCCUCCAAACAAGACCAUCAGCCAGUAAUUGGGGGAUAACUCGACAUUUCUCUGAUAGGAAGAUUUUAUACUUUAAAUUUCAGAAGUGUCAAAGUGAGCGCCACCUGCACGUCACCCUAAUCCCCACGCCUCCUUCAGCCCCAGCCAACUCUUCACCCACCAGCCCCUCACCUGGACUCCUCGGUUUCCACCCAUUGGUACAUCUCCACGUGCCGCCGCAGCUUCACAGCCGGGAGGUAGACCCCGUAGUUUGGAUCAGACAAGAGCUUCAGAUAGAAUCAAACAAGAAAAAUAAAGGACAAGAAUGCCCAGCUUGGGGAAGCCAGGCUGGAGGAGAAACAGGUCCAGAGCGCAGAAGAGCACAGAGAACUCCGCGGCUGCUCGCAUGGGGAGACGAGGGAAGCUGCCCGUCCCGAGUGCUGAACCUGCAAGCCUGUGACACGAGCCGCGUGCACAGCUCAGGCUGCUCGGCCCAAGUGCGCGGUACCCACGCAGCGUGUCGGGUGUUCAGACAGAAGACCUGGCACCAGACACACAAAUCCAUCAUCACUGUUAAAGCGCCUCUUUGUGAGGCUCUUGCUUCGGGCCAGAGACUGUGCCAGGAGGGUAGCUACUGAAUCCCACCCAAUCUUCAGAACCGGGCCCUGGUCUGUUACAAUUAUUCUCCCCAUUUGACAGAGGAAGACACUGAGACUCAGGAAAGAUGGGUCCACACGGCUGCUGAGAGAUACAGCGGGAGUCACACCAAGUGUCCCCGUCUCCAAGGCCCACGCUUUCAAAUCCUCCAUCAGACAAUAUCCUGCGAUGUGUCCCGGCCUCCGCGGGUCAGCAACCACCGCCAAGCCUACCUUAGACGUCCGCAGGGCCCCAGGGAUGUGCACCAGCCUCCCCUCAUUCUCUGGAGCCACACUGUGGAUGCUGUCGGGGGUCACCACCAGCGAGAGUCCCUCAGCCAGCAAGGUCGCCGUCUUCACUGUGCGGCCCU